GAUGAACGCUGGCGGCGUGCCUAAUACAUGCAAGUAGAACGCUGAAGGAAGGAGCUUGCUCUUUCCGGAUGAGUUGCGAACGGGUGAGUAACGCGUAGGUAACCUGCCUGGUAGCGGGGGAUAACUAUUGGAAACGAUAGCUAAUACCGCAUAACAGUAGAUGUUGCAUGAUAUCUACUUAAAAGGUGCAAUUGCACCACUACCAGAUGGACCUGCGUUGUAUUAGCUAGUUGGUGAGGUAACGGCUCACCAAGGCGACGAUACAUAGCCGACCUGAGAGGGUGAGCGGCCACACUGGGACUGGGACACGGCCCAGACGCCUACGGGAGGCAGCAGUAGGGAAUCUUCGGCAAUGGACGGAAGUCUGACCGAGCAACGCCGCGUGAGUGAAGAAGGUUGUCGGAUCGUAAAGCUCUGUUGUAAGAGAAGAACGAGUGUGAGAGUGGAAAGUUCACACUGUGACGGUAUCUUACCAGAAAGGGACGGCUAACUACGUG
This 497-nucleotide ribosomal RNA is filed under the name uncultured bacterium. RNAcentral describes it as "partial 16S ribosomal RNA". It matches the Rfam family "Bacterial small subunit ribosomal RNA", at positions 28 to 507 of the family's 1533-position model. The record is from RNAcentral.